Molecule: long non-coding RNA, 403 nt
Organism: Salvelinus namaycush (lake trout)
Lineage: Eukaryota; Metazoa; Chordata; Actinopteri; Salmoniformes; Salmonidae
Exons: 3
Source: RefSeq, a predicted model, not a curated record
UAGUGUAGAGUUGGUUUAGCCAGCGUUCGCUUUAAUUCUAACAUGUCCGCCAGAGUCCAAAUCUGACUGCUUUUUUCACAUUUCCCUCCUUCUUGGUGGUUUGAAGGAAUUAUCCACCCCCCCACCCUUGGAUUUCUUUGGAAUAAACAUAGCUAUUUCUUAAGGAAUACACCAUUCAUGUCAAUGCUUCAACAUGCAGCCCCCGCCGAGAAAGGUAAAAGUGACUCAGGAGCUGAAGAAUUGUCACAUAGAGCAGAUGACCAGACUGCACCUCAAACAUCAGACAGAAUGUGACCUGCUGGAGGACAUGAGGACAUACAGUUUGAAGAAGGGCCAGUUGGAGAGGGACUAUGCCCAGGUAAGAGCCUGUGUAGUUCAACCUGAGGGUUUUUCUCCUCUGUCA